AUUGAACGCUGGCGGCAUGCUUUACACAUGCAAGUCGGACGAGUGGCGAACGGGUGAGUAAUAUCUCGGAACGUACCGAGUAAUGGGGGAUAACUAAUCGAAAGAUUAGCUAAUACCGCAUACUAUUCGAGUGGCCGAGAUCUGAUUAGCUAGUUGGUGGGGUAAAGGCCUACCAAGGCGACGAUCAGUAGCGGGUCUGAGAGGAUGAUCCGCCAAACGGGAACUGAGACACGGCCCAGACGCCUACGGGAGGCAGCAGUGGGGAAUUUUGGACAAUGGGCGCAAUCCUGAUGCAGCCAUGCGGCGUGUCUGAAGAAGGCCUUCGGGUUGUAAAGUACUUUUGUCAGGGAAGCGGUACCUGAAGAAUAAGCACCGGCUAACUACGUGCCAGCAGCCGCGGUAAUUC
RNAcentral lists this ribosomal RNA (406 nucleotides) under uncultured bacterium. RNAcentral's name for it is "partial 16S ribosomal RNA". It matches the Rfam family "Bacterial small subunit ribosomal RNA", at positions 30 to 526 of the family's 1533-position model. The record is from RNAcentral.